CCGAUCCAAAUCUACACCAACACAUGUUAUGAGUAUCUUAUUUCAUGCCUUCACCUUACACUAUAAUACACAUACAAUUAGAAUAAAUCACUUUUUGAUAAUGCUGAUUCACGUUAAAAAACCAAAACCAUAAAUUUGAUUUUAUGAGGUAGAGGGAUGAACAUAAUUCUGGGUAUUUCUGGAACCAUGACGUUCACCUCUCCGAUUCUGGAACCAUCAACAACAACCUUACCAAGCACAUCCAAAUGGAAUAAAGUUGAAGAAAAAGGAAUGAAGAAGUUUAUGGUUUUCUGGAUUUGAUCUAGGAAUAAAGAAGAAAAGGGUAAAACUUAGAUUCUAAGUUGAUGAUGAAGAAGAAAUAGUAGUUUGUUUUUGUUGAAAAUAGAGGAAUGAUUUGGGAAUAUUUUUGCAGAGGAAGAGGGAGUAAGUGUACAGAAGAUAAGAGAUUAUUCUUUUUGUGCUGUGAGAGAUAAUUUUUUUUGCUGGA
RNAcentral lists this long non-coding RNA (487 nucleotides) under Medicago truncatula (barrel medic). RNAcentral describes it as "long non-coding RNA (MTRU_LNC002487)". Lineage: Eukaryota; Viridiplantae; Streptophyta; Magnoliopsida; Fabales; Fabaceae. The record is from RNAcentral.